AUUGAACGCUGGCGGCAUGCCUAACACAUGCAAGUCGAACGGCAGCAUGAAAUGGGGUAACCCAUUUUGAUGGCGAGUGGCGGACGGGUGAGUAAUAUGUAGGAAUCUACCUAGAGGUGCGGGAUAACUUAGGGAAACUUACGCUAAUACCACAUAAUCCCCAAGGGGGAAAGCAGGGGACAGCAAGGACUUGCGCCUUGUGAGGAGCGUACAUCGGAUUGGCUUGUUGGUGGGGUAAAGGCCUACCAAGGCGACGAUCCGUAGCUGGUCUGAGAGGAUGAUCAGCCACACUGGGACUGAGACACGGCCCAGACUCCUACGGGAGGCAGCAGUGGGGAAUAUUGGACAAUGGGCGCAAGCCUGAUCCGGCAAUGCCGCGUGUGUGAAGAAGGCCUUAGGGUUGUAAAGCACUUUCAGUGGGGAGGAAGUUAAGUUUGUUAAUACCAGAUUUAAUUGACGUUACCCACAGAAGAAGCACCGGCUAACUCUGUGCCAGCAGCCGCAGUAA
RNAcentral lists this ribosomal RNA (508 nucleotides) under uncultured bacterium. RNAcentral describes it as "partial 16S ribosomal RNA". It matches the Rfam family "Bacterial small subunit ribosomal RNA", at positions 30 to 523 of the family's 1533-position model. The record is from RNAcentral.